CGGGACGUAGCUCAGCUUGGCUAGAGCGCACCCUUGGGGUGGGUGAGGUCGCAGGUUCGAUUCCUGUCGUUCCGACCA
Molecule: transfer RNA, 78 nt
Filed under: Paenibacillus protaetiae
Lineage: Bacteria; Bacillati; Bacillota; Bacilli; Caryophanales; Paenibacillaceae
Description: Paenibacillus sp. FW100M-2 tRNA-Pro
Rfam family: tRNA
About the family: Transfer RNA (tRNA) molecules are approximately 80 nucleotides in length. Their secondary structure includes four short double-helical elements and three loops (D, anti-codon, and T loops).
Source: RNAcentral